GAUGAAGAACGUAGCGAAAUGCGAUACGUAAUGUGAAUUGCAGAAUUCAGUGAAUCAUCGAAUCUUUGAACGCAUAUUGCGCUCUCUGGUAUUCCGGAGAGCAUGCUUGUUUGAGUAUCAGUAAACACCUCAACUUCCAUAUCUUUUUUGAAAUGGGAGUUGGACUUGAGUGAUCCCAACGCUUUUCCUCACCGAAAAGUGGCGGGUUACUUAAAAUGCAGGUGCAGCUGGACUUUUCUCUGAGCUAUAAGCAUAUCUAUUUAGUCUGCCUAAAAAACAGAUUAUUACCUUUGCUGCAGCUAACAUAAAGGAGAUUAGUUCUUGUGCUGACUGAUGCAGGAUUCACAAAGACAGGCUUCGGCCGACUUUGUAAACUCGAUCUCAAAUCAAGUAAGACUACCCGCUGAACUUAAGCAUAUCAAUAAGCGGAGGA
This 433-nucleotide unclassified non-coding RNA is filed under the name soil metagenome. RNAcentral describes it as "partial contains 5.8S ribosomal RNA, internal transcribed spacer 2, and large subunit ribosomal RNA". The stretch from base 1 to 120 matches the Rfam family "5.8S ribosomal RNA", at positions 35 to 154 of the family's 154-position model. The record is from RNAcentral.